UGAUAGCUUGGUAAGAAAACUCAUAUAAUUUCAGAAAUAUGGUCUGAAAGUUUCUACAAGUUACCCGUAAAGUAACUUACUAUGGCAAAGGUAUUGUUUUUC
Molecule: non-coding RNA, 102 nt
Organism: Enterococcus sp. 6C8_DIV0013
Lineage: Bacteria; Bacillati; Bacillota; Bacilli; Lactobacillales; Enterococcaceae
Source: Rfam